UACGUAGGGAGCAAGCGUUGUCCGGAAUCAUUGGGCGUAAAGCGCACGUAGGCGGCCCUGUAAGUCCGUUGUGAAAGUCAAAGGCUCAACCUUUGAAAGCCGAUGAAUACUGCAGGGCUAGAGUCCGGAAGAGGCGAGUGGAAUUCCUGGUGUAGCGGUGGAAUGCGCAGAUAUCAGGAGGAACACCAAUAGCGAAGGCAGCUCGCUGGGACGGUACUGACGCUAAGGUGCGAAAGCGUGGGGAGCGAACAGG
This 253-nucleotide ribosomal RNA is filed under the name uncultured bacterium. RNAcentral describes it as "partial 16S ribosomal RNA". It matches the Rfam family "Bacterial small subunit ribosomal RNA", at positions 524 to 776 of the family's 1533-position model. The record is from RNAcentral.